ACUCAAAGGAAUUGACGGGGACCCGCACAAGCAGCGGAGCAUGUGGUUUAAUUCGAAGCAACGCGAAGAACCUUACCAGGGCUUGACAUGCCCUUGACCGUCCUAGAGAUAGGAUUUUCCCUUCGGGGACAAGGGACACAGGUGGUGCAUGGUUGUCGUCAGCUCGUGUCGUGAGAUGUUGGGUUAAGUCCCGCAACGAGCGCAACCCUUGCUUCUAGUUGCCAUCAUUAAGUUGGGCACUCUAGAGGGACUGCCGAUGAUAAAUCGGAGGAAGGUGGGGAUGACGUCAAAUCAUCAUGCCCUUUAUGUCCUGGGCUACACACGUGCUACAAUGGUCGGUACAACGAGCAGCUACCUAGUGAUAGGAUGCAAAUCUCUAAAAGCCGAUCCCAGUUCGGAUUGCAGGCUGCAACUCGCCUGCAUGAAGUCGGAGUUGCUAGUAAUCGCGAAUCAGAAUGUCGCGGUGAAUGCGUUCCCGGGUCUUGUACACACCGCCCGU
This 499-nucleotide ribosomal RNA is filed under the name uncultured bacterium. RNAcentral's name for it is "bacterial SSU rRNA". It matches the Rfam family "Bacterial small subunit ribosomal RNA", at positions 899 to 1397 of the family's 1533-position model. The record is from RNAcentral.